GGGAAGUUAGCUCAGCGGUAGAGCACAGCAUUCACAUUGCUGGGGUCAUAGGUUCGAAUCCUAUACUUCCCACCA
Molecule: transfer RNA, 75 nt
Filed under: Pseudomonadaceae bacterium
Lineage: Bacteria; Pseudomonadati; Pseudomonadota; Gammaproteobacteria; Pseudomonadales; Pseudomonadaceae
Description: tRNA-Val
Rfam family: tRNA
About the family: Transfer RNA (tRNA) molecules are approximately 80 nucleotides in length. Their secondary structure includes four short double-helical elements and three loops (D, anti-codon, and T loops).
Source: RNAcentral